GCCCUGCUAGCUCAAUCGGUAGAGCGUGAGACUUUUACGAGCCUCGGCAAGUUGCUCAGGAAGGAUAUUUGAACCUUAAAUCUCAAGGCUGCGGGUUCGAGCCCCGCGUGGGGCU
RNAcentral lists this transfer RNA (115 nucleotides) under Rhizoctonia solani 123E. It matches the Rfam family "tRNA". From Rfam's summary of the family: Transfer RNA (tRNA) molecules are approximately 80 nucleotides in length. The record is from Rfam by way of RNAcentral. Lineage: Eukaryota; Fungi; Basidiomycota; Agaricomycetes; Cantharellales; Ceratobasidiaceae.